Molecule: ribosomal RNA, 1436 nt
Filed under: uncultured bacterium
Lineage: Bacteria
Description: 16S ribosomal RNA
Rfam family: Bacterial small subunit ribosomal RNA
Source: RNAcentral
AGUCGAACGAGAGUGCUUGCACUCUAGUGGCGAACGGGUGAGUAACACGUUAUCUAAUUUGCCUUUUUGAGGGGAAUAACCGUUGGAAACGACGGCUAAUACCGCAUAGGUUAUCGUUAGGCAUCUAAUGAUAAUUAAAGGUGCGCAUUUGCACUACAAAAAGAUAAGGAUGCGCUGCAUUAGUUAGUUGGUAAGGUAAUGGCUUACCAAGACGAUGAUGCAUAGCCGACCUGAGAGGGUGAACGGCCACACUGGGAUUGAGACACGGCCCAGACUCCUACGGGAGGCAGCAGUAGGGAAUUUUUCACAAUGGGCGAAAGCCUGAUGGAGCAAUGCCGCGUGACUGAUGAAGGCCUUCGGGUUGUAAAGGUCUGUUGUAAGGAAAGAAUAGUAAGAAUAGGAAAUGAUUCUUAUUUGACGGUACUUUACCAGAAAGCCACGGCAAACUAUGUGCCAGCAGCCGCGGUAAUACAUAGGUGGCAAGCGUUAUCCGGAUUUAUUGGGCGUAAAGGGUGCGUAGGCGGUAAUAUAAGUCUAAGGUUAAAGAUCGAAGCUCAACUUCGAUUUGCCUUGGAAACUGUAUAACUAGAGUACAGGAGAGGUUAGUGGAAUUCCAUGUGUAGCGGUGAAAUGCGUAGAUAUAUGGAGGGACACCAGUGGCGAAGGCGACUAACUGGCCUGUAACUGACGCUGAGGCACGAAAGCAGGAGUAUCAAAUAGGAUUAGAUACCCUAGUAGUUCCUGCCGUAAACGAUGAGUACUAAGUGUCGGCUUUAAUGUCGGUGCUGUAGCUAACGCAUUAAGUACUCCGCCUGAGUAGUAUGCUCGCAAGAGUGAAACUCAAAGGAAUUGACGGGGCCCGCACAAGCGGUGGAUCAUGUGGUUUAAUUCGAAGCAACGCGAAGAACCUUACCCAGACUUGACAUCCAGUGCAAUGCUAUAGAAAUAUAGUGGAGGUUAACACUGAGACAGGUGGUGCAUGGUUGUCGUCAGCUCGUGUCGUGAGAUGUUGGGUUAAGUCCCGCAACGAGCGCAACCCUUAUCAUUAGUUGCUAACAUUUAGUUGAGGACUCUAAUGAGACUGCUAGUGCAAGCUAGAGGAAGGUGGGGAUGACGUCAAAUCAUCAUGCCCCUUAUGUCUGGGGCUACACACGUGAUACAAUGGUCGGUACAAAGAGUCGCAAACUCGCAAGGGCAAGCUAAUCUCAAAAAGCCGAUCUCAGUUCGGAUUGAAGUCUGCAACUCGACUCCAUGAAGUUGAAAUCGCUAGUAAUCGCGGAUCAGCAAUGCCGCGGUGAAUACGUUCUCGGGUCUUGUACACACCGCCCGUCACACCACGAGAGUUGGUAAUGCCAGAAGUUCGUAUCUUAACAGUUUACUGAGAGAGCGACCCAAGGUAGGAUUGACGAUUGGGGUGAAGUCGUAACAAGGUAACC